This 445-nucleotide ribosomal RNA is filed under the name uncultured prokaryote. Its description in RNAcentral is "bacterial SSU rRNA". It matches the Rfam family "Bacterial small subunit ribosomal RNA", at positions 355 to 796 of the family's 1533-position model. The record is from RNAcentral.
UAGGGAAUAUUGGUCAAUGGGCGCAAGCCUGAACCAGCCAUGCCGCGUGCAGGAUGACGGCCCUCAGGGUUGUAAACUGCUUUUGUAUGGGAAUAAAAAAGUCCUUGCGAGGACUCUUGAAGGUACCAUAAGAAUAAGCACCGGCUAACUCCGUGCCAGCAGCCGCGGUAAUACGGAGGGUGCAAGCGUUAUCCGGAUUUACUGGGUUUAAAGGGUGCGUAGGCGGCUUUUUAAGUCAGUGGUGAAAGCCUAGACACUUAAUGUCAGAAGUGCCAUUGAUACUGAAGAGCUUGAGUCGAGGAGAGGUAAGCAGAAUUUGUGGUGUAGCAGUGAAAUGCUUAGAUACCAUGAGGAAUACCAACAGCGAAAGCGCUCUACUGGGCCGUAACUGACGCUCAGGGACGAAAGCUAGGGGAGCGAAAGGGAUUAGAUACCCCCGUAGUCC